This 461-nucleotide ribosomal RNA is filed under the name uncultured bacterium. RNAcentral describes it as "partial 16S ribosomal RNA". It matches the Rfam family "Bacterial small subunit ribosomal RNA", at positions 339 to 795 of the family's 1533-position model. The record is from RNAcentral.
CUACGGGUCGCUGCAGUCGAGAAUCUUCCGCAAUGGACGAAAGUCUGACGGAGCGACGCCGCGUGCGGGAUGAAGGCCUUCGGGUUGUAAACCGCUGUCAGUGGGGAGGAAAUGCAUCAGGGUUCUCCCUGGUGUUUGACCGAUCCGCAGAGGAAGCGCAGGCUAAGUUCGUGCCAGCAGCCGCGGUAACACGAACUGCGCGAACGUUAUUCGGAAUCACUGGGCUUAAAGAGUUCGUAGGCGGCCUUUCAAGUCGGGUGUGAAAUCCCUCGGCUCAAUCGAGGAAUUGCGCCUGAUACUGUUGGGCUUGAGGGGGAUAGGGGUGAGCGGAACUGAUGGUGGAGCGGUGAAAUGCGUUGAUAUCAUCAGGAACACCGGUGGCGAAGGCGGCUCACUGGAUCUCUUCUGACGCUGAGGAACGAAAGCUAGGGGAGCGAACGGGAUUAGAUACCCUAGUAGUC